UACAGAUAAUGUAUAUACUCUGUACCAUGUUUGGGUCGACUUCUGCAUCUUACUGAGUGAGGUUGUAAGUCCUACCCUAGAUAGGAGGUCUGGCCUGGUUCUGGUUUCUUAGUCACUCCAUAUCAUAAUGUUAGACACUCCCACAUAUGCAGCAAAUAUUGUUGAGGUAAUAGCAGGGUCAGUCCCCAUGAUCCUUGCCACAGUGCUAGCAAAUCUUACUGCGUCUUAUUGUUGGAAUCUAAGGGAG
RNAcentral lists this long non-coding RNA (247 nucleotides) under Carica papaya (papaya). Its description in RNAcentral is "long non-coding RNA (CPAP_LNC011453)". Lineage: Eukaryota; Viridiplantae; Streptophyta; Magnoliopsida; Brassicales; Caricaceae. The record is from RNAcentral.